RNAcentral lists this ribosomal RNA (520 nucleotides) under uncultured Glomus. Its description in RNAcentral is "SSU rRNA". It matches the Rfam family "Eukaryotic small subunit ribosomal RNA", at positions 569 to 1092 of the family's 1831-position model. Lineage: Eukaryota; Fungi; Glomeromycota; Glomeromycetes; Glomerales; Glomeraceae. The record is from RNAcentral.
AGCAGCCGCGGUAAUUCCAGCUCCAAUAGCGUAUAUUAAAGUUGUUGCAGUUAAAAAGCUCGUAGUUGAAUUUCGGGGUCAGUAGGCUGGUCGUGCCACAGGUACGUACUGGUCUCACUGAUUCCUCCUUCCUGAUGAACCGUAAUGCCAUUAAUUUGGUGUUGCGGGGAAACUGGACUGUUACUUUGAAAAAAUUAGAGUGUUUAAAGCAGGCUAACGCUUGAAUACAUUAGCAUGAAAUAAUGAAAUAGGACGUUCGAUCCUAUUUUGUUGGUUUCUAGGAUUGACGUAAUGAUUAAUAGGGAUAGUUGGGGGCAUUAGUAUUCAAUUGUCAGAGGUGAAAUUCUUGGAUUUAUUGAAGACUAACUACUGCGAAAGCAUUUGCCAAGGAUGUUUUCAUUAAUCAAGAACGAAAGUUAGGGGAUCGAAGACGAUCAGAUACCGUCGUAGUCUUAACCAUAAACUAUGCCGACUAGGGAUCGGAUGAUGUUAUUUUUAAUGACUCAUUCGGCGCUUACGG